This 492-nucleotide ribosomal RNA is filed under the name uncultured bacterium. Its description in RNAcentral is "partial 16S ribosomal RNA". It matches the Rfam family "Bacterial small subunit ribosomal RNA", at positions 29 to 507 of the family's 1533-position model. The record is from RNAcentral.
AGUGAACGCUGGCGGUAGGCCUAACACAUGCAAGUCGAACGGCAGCACAAUAAGAGCUUGCUCUUACGGGUGGCGAGUGGCGGACGGGUGAGGAAUACAUCGGAAUCUACUUUUUCGUGGGGGAUAACGUAGGGAAACUUACGCUAAUACCGCAUACGACCUACGGGUGAAAGCAGGGGAUCUUCGGACCUUGCACGAUUGAAUGAGCCGAUGUCGGAUUAGCUAGUUGGCGGGGUAAAGGCCCACCAAGGCGACGAUCCGUAGCUGGUCUGAGAGGAUGAUCAGCCACACUGGAACUGAGACACGGUCCAGACUCCUACGGGAGGCAGCAGUGGGGAAUAUUGGACAAUGGGCGCAAGCCUGAUCCAGCCAUACCGCGUGGGUGAAGAAGGCCUUCGGGUUGUAAAGCCCUUUUGUUGGGAAAGAAAAGCAGCAGGUUAAUACCCCGCUGUUCCGACGGUACCCAAAGAAUAAGCACCGGCUAACUUCGUG